CCUACGGGUGGCAGCAGUAGGGAAUAUUGCUCAAUGGGGGAAACCCUGAAGCAGCAACGCCGCGUGGAGGAUGACGGUUUUCGGAUUGUAAACUCCUUUUGUUAGAGAAGAUAAUGACGGUAUCUAACGAAUAAGCACCGGCUAACUCCGUGCCAGCAGCCGCGGUAAUACGGCGGGUGCAAGCGUUACUCGGAAUCACUGGGCGUAAAGGGCGCGUAGGCGGGAUAGAAAGUCAGAUGUGAAAUCCUAUGGCUUAACCAUAGAACUGCAUUUGAAACUGUUAUUCUAGAGUAUGGGAGAGGUAGGUGGAAUUCGUGGUGUAGGGGUAAAAUCCGUAGAGAUCAAGAGGAAUACUCAUUGCGAAGGCGACCUGCUAGAACAUAACUGACGCUGAUGCGCGAAAGCGUGGGGAGCAAACAGGAUUAGAUACCCUGGUAGUC
RNAcentral lists this ribosomal RNA (440 nucleotides) under uncultured bacterium. RNAcentral describes it as "partial 16S ribosomal RNA". It matches the Rfam family "Bacterial small subunit ribosomal RNA", at positions 338 to 795 of the family's 1533-position model. The record is from RNAcentral.